CAUCUUUUUGUCCACCCUUAGAUGCUAAUUGAACAAUUUGCUUAUUGGAUAGUGAUUUGCCCAAUGAAUAGUUCUCAUCAGAGAUUUGGGUAACCAAAGAAAGGGCAAGAGGAGCGGUUUUCUUUGAUUUGACGAGGUGGUAAUAUUUCUCGGUGGCUUUCCACCACGUAGCAACAGAUGGUUGGGCAGUGGUGGGUUCGGUAGAAGAAAUGGAAGUAAUGAAAUCGGAGACAAUGGCACGGCUGGGCAGGUUUGAAGUUACCGUACCAGAUGAUGUUGACAGAAAUUUUUCCAGCAAGAAGAGGGCCAUUGUGGUAUUGAAAGAGCAAGGGCUGUUGGGUUUGAUCAGACUCUGCGAGUCUUCUUACUGCUGAGCUGAAAUGAACAAGAGAAACAAAUAAAAGGAGCUUAAGCAGGAAAUGAGAGGCACCAAAAGAGGCCAUAAUAAUAGAUUUUAAACAAGAUUAAUAUUGAAGGAAAAUAAACGAAGUGAGCG
This 496-nucleotide unclassified non-coding RNA is filed under the name Hevea brasiliensis (rubber tree). The record is from RNAcentral. Lineage: Eukaryota; Viridiplantae; Streptophyta; Magnoliopsida; Malpighiales; Euphorbiaceae.